This 468-nucleotide ribosomal RNA is filed under the name uncultured bacterium. Its description in RNAcentral is "partial 16S ribosomal RNA". It matches the Rfam family "Bacterial small subunit ribosomal RNA", at positions 28 to 507 of the family's 1533-position model. The record is from RNAcentral.
GACGAACGCUGGCGGCGUGCUUAACACAUGCAAGUCGAACGGAAAGGCCCUGCUUUUGUGGGGUGCUCGAGUGGCGAACGGGUGAGUAACAUGUGAGUAACCUGCCCUUGACUUUGGGAUAACUUCAGGAAACUGGGGCUAAUACCGGAUAGGAGCUCCUGCUGCAUGGUGGGGGUUGGAAAGUUUCGGCGGUUGGGGAUGGACUCGCGGCUUAUCAGCUUGUUGGUGGGGUAGUGGCUUACCAAAGCUUUGACGGGUAGCCGGCCUGGGAGGGUGACCGGGCACAAUGGGACUGAGGUACGGCCCAGACGCCUAUGGGAGGCAGCAGGGGGGAAUAUUGCACAAUGGGGGGAAGCCUGAUGCAGCAACGCCGCGUUCGGGAUGACGGCCUUCGGGUUGUAAACCGCUUUCGCCUGUGACGAAGUGUGAGUGACGGUAAUGGGUAAAGAAGCACCGGCUAACUACGUG